RNAcentral lists this transfer RNA (64 nucleotides) under Cucujoidea sp. 30 KM-2017. RNAcentral describes it as "tRNA-Thr". It matches the Rfam family "tRNA". From Rfam's summary of the family: Transfer RNA (tRNA) molecules are approximately 80 nucleotides in length. Their secondary structure includes four short double-helical elements and three loops (D, anti-codon, and T loops). Lineage: Eukaryota; Metazoa; Arthropoda; Insecta; Coleoptera. The record is from RNAcentral.
GUUUUUAUAAUUUAAGAUAAAAUACUGGUCUUGUAAAUCAGAAAUAUGUAAUACAUUAAAAACA